Molecule: ribosomal RNA, 253 nt
Filed under: uncultured bacterium
Lineage: Bacteria
Description: partial 16S ribosomal RNA
Rfam family: Bacterial small subunit ribosomal RNA
Source: RNAcentral
CACGUAGGGCGCGAGCGUUGUCCGGAAUUAUUGGGCGUAAAGAGCUCGUAGGCGGCCUGUUGCGUCCGCUGUGAAAGCCCGGGGCUUAACCCCGGGUCUGCAGUGGAUACGGGCAGGCUAGAGGUAGGUAGGGGAGAAUGGAAUUCCCGGUGUAGCGGUGAAAUGCGCAGAUAUCGGGAGGAACACCGGUGGCGAAGGCGGUUCUCUGGGCCGAAACUGACACUGAAGCGCGAAAGCUAGGGGAGCAAACGGG